This 254-nucleotide ribosomal RNA is filed under the name uncultured bacterium. Its description in RNAcentral is "partial 16S ribosomal RNA". It matches the Rfam family "Bacterial small subunit ribosomal RNA", at positions 524 to 777 of the family's 1533-position model. The record is from RNAcentral.
UACGUAGGGGGCAAGCGUUGUCCGGAUUUACUGGGCGUAAAGAGCGCGCAGGCGGUCGUUCAAGUCGAGUGUGAAAGCCCCCGGCUCAACUGGGGAGGGUCACGCGAUACUGCUCGACUUGAAGGCAGGAGAGGGAAGUGGAAUUCCCGGUGUAGUGGUGAAAUGCGUAGAUAUCGGGAGGAACACCAGUGGCGAAGGCGACUUCCUGGCCUGUUCUUGACGCUGAGGCGCGAAAGCUAGGGUAGCAAAACGGG